GAUGAACGCUGGCGGCGUGCCUAAUACAUGCAAGUCGAGCGAACGGACGAGAAGCUUGCUUCUCUGAUGUUAGCGGCGGACGGGUGAGUAACACGUGGAUAACCUACCUAUAAGACUGGGAUAACUUCGGGAAACCGGAGCUAAUACCGGAUAAUAUUUUGAACCGCAUGGUUCAAAAGUGAAAGACGGUCUUGCUGUCACUUAUAGAUGGAUCCGCGCUGCAUUAGCUAGUUGGUAAGGUAACGGCUUACCAAGGCAACGAUGCAUAGCCGACCUGAGAGGGUGAUCGGCCACACUGGAACUGAGACACGGUCCAGACUCCUACGGGAGGCAGCAGUAGGGAACCUUCCGCAAUGGGCGAAAGCCUGACGGAGCAACGCCGCGUGAGUGAUGAAGGUCUUCGGAUCGUAAAACUCUGUUAUUAGGGAAGAACAUACGUGUAAGUAACUGUGCACAUCUUGACGGUACCUAAUCAGAAAGCCACGGCUAACUACGUG
This 497-nucleotide ribosomal RNA is filed under the name uncultured bacterium. RNAcentral's name for it is "partial 16S ribosomal RNA". It matches the Rfam family "Bacterial small subunit ribosomal RNA", at positions 28 to 507 of the family's 1533-position model. The record is from RNAcentral.